Molecule: transfer RNA, 76 nt
Filed under: Candidatus Roizmanbacteria bacterium
Lineage: Bacteria; Candidatus Roizmaniibacteriota
Description: tRNA-Glu
Rfam family: tRNA
About the family: Transfer RNA (tRNA) molecules are approximately 80 nucleotides in length. Their secondary structure includes four short double-helical elements and three loops (D, anti-codon, and T loops). Further hydrogen bonds mediate the characteristic L-shaped molecular structure. tRNAs have two regions of fundamental functional importance: the anti-codon, which is responsible for specific mRNA codon recognition, and the 3' end, to which the tRNAs corresponding amino acid is attached (by aminoacyl-tRNA synthetases). tRNAs cope with the degeneracy of the genetic code in two manners: having more than one tRNA (with a specific anti-codon) for a particular amino acid; and 'wobble' base-pairing, i.e. permitting non-standard base-pairing at the 3rd anti-codon position.
Source: RNAcentral
GCUAUCGUCUUCUAACGGCUAGGAACACAGGCCUUCAACCUGCGAGAUACGGGUUCGACCCCCGUCGAUAGUACCA